UACAGAGGUCUCAAGCGUUGUUCGGAUUCAUUGGGCGUAAAGAGCGUGUAGGCGGUCCGAUAAGUCGGUUGUGAAAGUCAAGGGCUCAACCCUUGAAUGCCGACCGAUACUGUCGGGCUAGAGUCCGGAAGAGGCGAGUGGAAUUCCUGGUGUAGCGGUGAAAUGCGCAGAUAUCAGGAGGAACACCAAUGGCGAAGGCAGCUCGCUGGGACGGUACUGACGCUGAGACGCGAAAGCGUGGGGAGCAAACAGG
This 253-nucleotide ribosomal RNA is filed under the name uncultured bacterium. RNAcentral's name for it is "partial 16S ribosomal RNA". It matches the Rfam family "Bacterial small subunit ribosomal RNA", at positions 524 to 776 of the family's 1533-position model. The record is from RNAcentral.